This 65-nucleotide transfer RNA is filed under the name Gaeana maculata. RNAcentral's name for it is "tRNA-Asn". The record is from RNAcentral. Lineage: Eukaryota; Metazoa; Arthropoda; Insecta; Hemiptera; Cicadidae.
UUAAUUGAAGCCAAAAUUGAGGCACUUUAAUGUUAAUAAAGCAAUUGAAUAAAUGUCCAAUUAAA